Molecule: transfer RNA, 73 nt
Filed under: Oscillospiraceae bacterium
Lineage: Bacteria; Bacillati; Bacillota; Clostridia; Eubacteriales; Oscillospiraceae
Description: tRNA-Gly
Rfam family: tRNA
About the family: Transfer RNA (tRNA) molecules are approximately 80 nucleotides in length.
Source: RNAcentral
GCGGAUUUAGCUCAUUUGGUAGAGCAUCAGCUUCCCAAGCUGAGGGUGGCGAGUUCGAGCCUCGUAAUCCGCU